AGCGAACGCUGGCGGCAGGCCUAACACAUGCAAGUCGAACGAACCUUUCGGGGUUAGUGGCGGACGGGUGAGUAACACGUGGGAACGUGCCUUUAGGUUCGGAAUAACUCAGGGAAACUUGUGCUAAUACCGAAUGUGCCCUUCGGGGGAAAGAUUUAUCGCCUUUAGAGCGGCCCGCGUCUGAUUAGCUAGUUGGUUGAGGUAAUGGCUCACCAAGGCGACGAUCAGUAGCUGGUCUGAGAGGAUGAUCAGCGACAUUGGGACUGAGACACGGCCCAAACUCCUACGGGAGGCAGCAGUGGGGAAUCUUGCGCAAUGGGCGAAAGCCUGACGCAGCCAUGCCGCGUGAAUGAUGAAGGUCUGAGGAUUGUAAAAUUCUUUCACCGGGGACGAUAAUGACGGUACCCGGAGAAGAAGCCCCGGCUAACUUCGUG
RNAcentral lists this ribosomal RNA (434 nucleotides) under uncultured bacterium. RNAcentral describes it as "partial 16S ribosomal RNA". It matches the Rfam family "Bacterial small subunit ribosomal RNA", at positions 29 to 507 of the family's 1533-position model. The record is from RNAcentral.